Dioscorea cayenensis subsp. rotundata (Guinea yam) is the source of this 472-nucleotide long non-coding RNA. RefSeq lists it as uncharacterized. The transcript has 2 exons. The record is from RefSeq and is a predicted model, not a curated record. NCBI's taxonomy places the organism in Eukaryota, Viridiplantae, Streptophyta, Magnoliopsida, Dioscoreales, Dioscoreaceae.
UGCAGCCAUCCUCUAAUGGCGUUUUGGUGGCUAUUCUCUGUGAUGGAGAAUGCUUCUCCUUCGUCGGCAUAAAGACUCAGGAUUCGGAUUCAUGGGAUUUGAAGGUUUAAUUGGAUGAAUUUGCUGUUCUUUUCGUGUUUGACUGUAUGAUAGUGUUGCUCGUUCGGAUUGGCAGAAUGAAGAACUGGAAUUGGAUAUUUAGAUAGAUUUGAUGUCCAUUUUGGUGGACUUCACGGUUGAUUGGUGAAAGUAUCAGAUGGUACAUGAGAAAAAAUCUUAGUGUCAAAGCAAAAUGCAAGGAUUUAAGGAAUAGCUCAGAAUGUGUGGCAGAAGUAAGCAGUCGAUGCAGCCUUCUAUCUGUGAUUAUAAAAUAUUUUAGAUUUUUCCAUUGUGGUUGUGUACUGAUGUAAUUAGUAAUGCUUGUAGAAAAAGGACAAAUUUGUGCUUGAAGAAUGACAUUUUGAUUGGAUUU